AAUGAACGUUGGCGGCGUGGAUUAGGCAUGCAAGUCGAGCGGGCCAGCAAUGGUCAGCGGCGAAAGGGACAGUAACACGUAGAUUACCUACCCUCAGGUCCGGGAUAGCCACGGGAAACUGUGGAUAAUACCGGAUGAUAUCUCCGGAUCAAAGGUGUGAUUCCGCCGGAGGAUGGGUCUGCGUCCUAUUAGGUUGUUGGUGAGGUAACGGCUCACCAAGCCGAUGAUGGGUAGUGGGUGUGAGAGCACGACCCGCGUCACUGGGACUGAGAUACUGCCCAGACACCUACGGGUGGCUGCAGUCGAGGAUCUUCGGCAAUGGGCGCAAGCCUGACCGAGCGACGCCGCGUGCGGGAUGGAGGCCUUCGGGUUGUAAACCGCUGUCGGAGGGGAUGAAAUGCGUGGGGGUUCUCCCCCAUGUUUGACAUAUCCUCGGAGGAAGUACGGGCUAAGUUCGUGCCAGCCGCCGCAGUAAAAC
RNAcentral lists this ribosomal RNA (478 nucleotides) under uncultured bacterium. RNAcentral's name for it is "bacterial SSU rRNA". It matches the Rfam family "Bacterial small subunit ribosomal RNA", at positions 28 to 526 of the family's 1533-position model. The record is from RNAcentral.